Non-coding RNA from Dipodomys ordii (Ord's kangaroo rat), 65 nucleotides. The record is from Rfam. NCBI's taxonomy places the organism in Eukaryota, Metazoa, Chordata, Mammalia, Rodentia, Heteromyidae.
GGUGGCUCAGUGGUAGAAUGCUUGCCUUGCAUGCAAGAGGCCCUGGGUUUGAUUCCUCAGCACCA